RNAcentral lists this long non-coding RNA (1768 nucleotides) under Ananas comosus (pineapple). Its description in RNAcentral is "long non-coding RNA (ACOM_LNC016098)". The record is from RNAcentral. Lineage: Eukaryota; Viridiplantae; Streptophyta; Magnoliopsida; Poales; Bromeliaceae.
GGUUCCGGUGUCGAAUUAGACACUUCCGGGAACCCGGAUUCGUACGAUUAUCCGGCGAUGAUCGUAUUGUUGUGUGACCUUGUGUUCGCUGCCAAGGCAUCCAAAUUGGAGUGCUUUGGGGCAGCGGGUGACUCGUGGCACGAGUCGGUGAGUUUCGGGGCACUCAGUGGGCCCCGACGGCGUUCCGGUGUGAUUUUCGGGACUUCCGGUGAGUUGCGGGGAUCGGUUUUGGGAAACCGAUUCGGGGAUCUUGUGUGGGGAUUUGUGAGUCUCGUGCUUUGGGUUAGUGGUUUGGAAACUGACUUAGUGGAUCUUCUUAGGUCCGGUAGACUCUGUGCGUACCCAGUGUUCCGACGCGACAGUGACAGGUGGGUGCUUCGAGCUGGUUGUCGGUGAGAGCGUUUCACCUCCUUCUCCUGUUUUUCUAUUCCAGUAUAUUAGCUCUACAUGUCAGUUGUUUGGUUAUCGUUUGGUUAUCGUAUUUCGUUGACUGCAUUGGUUAGUGAAUGAUAGACAUGUAGAGCAAGUUGCAUUUGUAUUUCAGUAUCUCUGUGGACCUUGGGUCCAGGCAACACAUUGACUCUCUGGUCGUGUGUUUCGAUCUGGUUGAUCGAGGUUCGGCGUUGUACGCCCUAGCUUCUAUUUCAGUUUGGCAUUGUACGCCCUCGUUGUUGGCUUCGGCCUAGGCACCGGCUUUAACCGGGUUUGUUUUUGUUUGAGCAUACCAGCAUGACUUAGUCACGGCACUUGGGGGUAUUCAUGACACCAGAUCGGUUUGGCCACCGAUCGGAGGUGUACUUAUCCAGAUAGGUCGUCCUGCGGGGCGGAUGGAUCAGGUCGGUGCAGUUAGUGACAGGCAGCGCUUGAGGUCUGCGGACCGAUACAGCAGGCACAGAUUGGGUACAGUUUCUGGUUCAGUACAUUGAGGCAUUCUUUGCAUUAUUUUCUAUACAGUAGCAGGUUUAUUUAUUGCUUCCUAUUUAUCUGUUGUAGCUACUGUAGUUCUAUUUCAUAUCAGCUUACAGAUAUAUAUUUGGUUAUCUAUCUCCUUUGGUUUUCGGUGAUUACGACUUGCCUUCGUGGCUCUGUCGUACCCACUGAGAAAACCAUGGUUGCGGUUUCUCACCCCCCAUUUCCCCCCCCAGGUGACAGAGACGAGGAGUUGGAUUUUGGGCUCGACGAGAGGACGAUCUAGCUAGUCUGGUAUAGCGACCGUCACCCUGGUUAUCUCUUUUCCGCACUUAGUAGUUUUCUUAAUAAUGGUUCAGUUAGUUGAUCUUAUGUAUGCUUGAAUGUAUGUGAACUGUGGUGUUGGUUUCUUUUAUACAUGAGAUUUGAGUUUUCGAUCUGUGGUUUUGGUUCUGUGGAGAUUUGGUUUUCUUGUAGUGAUGCAUCGUGGUUUUCUACCCCUCGAGGUAGUCGGUUUUCAAAAAUAGAGUUUCUGUGUGGGAAACAGUUUUAAAAAGGUUUUCGAACGGUUUUUAUGAAUGAAUGAAUUAGAGUUUAAAAACAAAAGUUUUCGUGUGGGGAGCACUUUUAAGUAGAAUGUUUGUUGUAUUGUGCAUUGCAUCAUCCAGCGCCUAAGGAGUGCUUAGAGGCAUGCAUCAUUCUAAGGAUUGUUAGCUGUAUGGAAAUACAUAUCAUGCUUUGGUUGUUGUUUGGUAAAUGUAGGUUGUGGUUGUGAUCCUGUUGUAUCGUUGGUACGCCGUGCAAAUACAAAGGAGACUCUGUCCGAGUGGACAGAGGAACUUUGUAUUUGUGGCGGGUC